This 253-nucleotide ribosomal RNA is filed under the name uncultured bacterium. RNAcentral describes it as "partial 16S ribosomal RNA". It matches the Rfam family "Bacterial small subunit ribosomal RNA", at positions 524 to 776 of the family's 1533-position model. The record is from RNAcentral.
UACGGGGGGGGCAAGCGUUGUUCGGAAUUACUGGGCGUAAAGGGCGCGUAGGCGGCCUGCUAAGUCGGACGUGAAAUCCCUCGGCUCAACCGAGGAACUGCGUCCGAUACUGGUGGGCUUGAAUCCGGGAGAGGGAUGUGGAAUUCCAGGUGUAGCGGUGAAAUGCGUAGAUAUGCGGAGGAACACCGAUGGCGAAGGCAAUCCCCUGGACCUGUACUGACGCUCAUGCACGAAAGCGUGGGGAGCAAACAGG